RNAcentral lists this ribosomal RNA (469 nucleotides) under uncultured bacterium. Its description in RNAcentral is "bacterial SSU rRNA". It matches the Rfam family "Bacterial small subunit ribosomal RNA", at positions 28 to 507 of the family's 1533-position model. The record is from RNAcentral.
GACGAACGCUGGCGGCGCGCCUAACACAUGCAAGUCGAACGAGAGAGAGGAAGCUUGCUUCCUCAAUCGAGUGGCGAACGGGUGAGUAACGCGUGAGGAACCUGCCUCAAAGAGGGGGACAACAGUUGGAAACGACUGCUAAUACCGCAUAAGCCCACAGGUCGGCAUCGACCAGAGGGAAAAGGAGUAAUCCGCUUUGAGAUGGCCUCGCGUCCGAUUAGCUAGUUGGUGAGGUAACGGCCCACCAAGGCGACGAUCGGUAGCCGGACUGAGAGGUUGAACGGCCACAUUGGGACUGAGACACGGCCCAAACUCCUACGGGAGGCAGCAGUGGGGAAUAUUGCACAAUGGGGGAAACCCUGAUGCAGCGACGCCGCGUGAGUGAUGAAGUAUUUCGGUAUGUAAAAACUCUAAUCAGCAGGGAAGAUAAUGACGGUACCUGACUAAGAAGCACCGGCUAAAAUACGUG